UACGGAGGGGGCAAGCGUUGUUCGGAAUUAUUGGGCGUAAAGAGCUCGUAGGCGGUUUGUUGCGUCGGCUGUGAAAUCCCGAGGCUCAACCUCGGGUCUGCAGUCGAUACGAGCAAACUAGAGUGUUGCAGGGGAGACUGGAAUUCCUGGUGUAGCGGUGAAAUGCGCAGAUAUCAGGAGGAACACCGGUGGCGAAGGCGGGUCUCUGGGCCGAUACUGACGCUGAGGAGCGAAAGCGUGGGGAGCGAACAGG
Molecule: ribosomal RNA, 253 nt
Filed under: uncultured bacterium
Lineage: Bacteria
Description: partial 16S ribosomal RNA
Rfam family: Bacterial small subunit ribosomal RNA
Source: RNAcentral